RNAcentral lists this ribosomal RNA (252 nucleotides) under uncultured microorganism. RNAcentral describes it as "partial 16S ribosomal RNA". It matches the Rfam family "Bacterial small subunit ribosomal RNA", at positions 524 to 776 of the family's 1533-position model. The record is from RNAcentral.
UACGUAGGUCCCGAGCGUUGUCCGGAUUUAUUGGGCGUAAAGCGAGCGCAGGUGGUUUAAUAAGUCUGAUGUAAAAGGCAGUGGCUCAACCAUUGUGUGCAUUGGAAACUGGUAGACUUGAGUGCAGGAGAGGAGAGUGGAAUUCCAUGUGUAGCGGUGAAAUGCGUAGAUAUAUGGAGGAACACCGGUGGCGAAAGCGGCUCUCUGGACUGUAACUGACACUGAGGCUCGAAAGCGUGGGUAGCAAACAGG